CCAAAGGCUCUUUUAAGAGCCACUUCAAUUCUGCCUCAAAAGAGCA
Molecule: non-coding RNA, 46 nt
Organism: Scleropages formosus (Asian bonytongue)
Lineage: Eukaryota; Metazoa; Chordata; Actinopteri; Osteoglossiformes; Osteoglossidae
Source: Rfam